This 426-nucleotide unclassified non-coding RNA is filed under the name plant metagenome. Its description in RNAcentral is "partial contains 5.8S ribosomal RNA, internal transcribed spacer 2, and large subunit ribosomal RNA". The record is from RNAcentral.
GCCGUCCGCCACGAGAAUGCGAACUUGCGAGGUGCGGUCGCGAUAGGCUUCCAGUUCAAUUUACUCAGUUUCGUCGCCUGCUUCAGCAUCAUUGGCUUUAGUCGGCCUGAGGAACGCAAAGGCGCAGUCGUUGUGCGCGCCAAGGACGUGGCCACGAAGUAUUGAAGGCGUGGAGAUUACCUCGGUCGCGUUCGGGCGCUGAUCUUCCUGUUAACGGUCGUUUUUGGCCUGUUGAGAGGCUAAUCCUUGCCGGGGACGCGGAUCGUAUUCCGACGAUCCAUACCCCAUGGCCGGAGCACAGCAGCGACGCGCUUGAGGGAUGCAGGAACCUCCCGCGCUUGCAAAAUCAGAUCCAAUUCGAGCAGCUUGAGCAUAGGGGAGCGAAUCAAGAGGCCUCGGGGCCCGACCAAGGGGGAGCACACAUGA